RNAcentral lists this long non-coding RNA (4927 nucleotides) under Solanum tuberosum (potato). RNAcentral describes it as "long non-coding RNA (STUB_LNC008924)". The record is from RNAcentral. Lineage: Eukaryota; Viridiplantae; Streptophyta; Magnoliopsida; Solanales; Solanaceae.
UUUGAUAUUUUCUAGGAAAUAUUUUUCAUUCACCAACGUAACAAUAUAAAAUAUUUUCCAGUCACCAACCAAACAUGAGAAAAUAAGUUGGAAACCAACUUGUUCUCCAAGAAAACAUUUUCUAGGAACACAUUUUUCAUGAAAAACAUUUUCCCUCCUAUCAAACACACCCUUAAUUUCAAUUGAUACAAUAUCGAGAUGCAAAAAUCAAAAUUCUAACACAAAGAAUAAGAAACAAAGAUAAACAAAAGAUAAAAGGAUAGAAUAAGAGACACGAGAUAGAAAACAAUUGAGAAUAAUGAUUAUAGAUCAAUCAAUACCCCCAAUUGACUUGAUUCCACAAAGCACCAAUCCUAUAAAAGUAAGACACGGGAAUGAGACUAAUAGACAAUCAGGAAUAUAUCAAAAUCAAGACCACAUAUUUAAGAACACCAAAUAAAUACCUAUAUUAUAGAGAUAACCCUCAAGAGGAAUGAUUUCCUCCAGCAACAACUAUGGCCUUAGACUCAAACCCCCUCAAGAGUAUACUCAAUUCAUAAGAAUUCAAUAUAUCAAAAUUAAUAAUCUAUUUAAUUAAAAUGAUAUAGUGUAGUAUUUAUACUAUACUAGACUUGGAAUAAACAUUAAUAAUGAUUAUUACAAAAAUAUCCUUGAUGAAUUAAGAGUCUUUUUAGUCAAGACGUUUGCAUUUUAAGAAAGUCAUUAUGAAUUAAUAGCAUCUUUCUCGAAUUAGAGUCAAUUGUAGUUCCAAUCUCAUAGUGUUAAGAGCUAAUUACAUUUUAUUCCUAUUCAUUUCCAAAUCACAUAAAUCUCUUAAAAUUUAAGGAUUUCGAAUACAUCACUCAACGUCUCGAUACAUUACCUUUGUUGAUACAAGACAUACUUGUCCUGAUACAUACGUCCAAAUACAUCACAUUCCGAUGUAAGAAAAGUUUCUUGCUUCUGGUCCAAGUUUACUUGUGGCCCAAAUUUACUUGUGAGUCAAGUCCCUUAUUUACUUGUGACCCAAGUCCCUUAUUUAAAUAAGAUUUAUAUAAGGUAAAAAUAUUGAUUUUAAAGUCUUAGUUUUAGGACUUUUAAUAUAGUUCAAAUAAGAAAAAUAUUUAAUAACUAUAAGUUUAGUUACAUUUCUUGUCCUAAGUACUAGCAUAAUUAAAAGACAAUUAUUUGAGUAAAAUAGUAAAUGACAAUUUUGUCUGUUGUAAAAUCUUUUAAUGAAGGGUAAUUAGUUCAAUCAACCUUAGACAUUCAUGCUAUUCCAAACACAUCUCCAACUCCAACAUUAAAAUUUUCAAAUAAGGUGAAUAAUAUUACGUUUCAUGCCCACUAAGCUUUAAAACCUUUUCGUAUAGGGAAAAUACAUAAAAAAAACCUCUUGAACUUGGCGCGAGAACUUACUUUAGUACUUAAACUACACAGGUGCUUAUAUAACCCCCUUAACAUCUUUUAUGUGAAUUAUUUUAAACCCUUCGAACACCAGCCUUGUGCGCGUGUUGUUACAGCUUAGAACGGCGCGUUAGUCAUCUUUUAACAUUUUUUAAAAAUUAAAUAUGCCCCUCCAACGGUAAUAUCCGAUCCAUUACCCAUUUGAAGAACAAUCUUCACUUUUUAAGAACCCUAAUUACCUCUUCUCCCUCACCAACCCAAUCAUCCAAAAAUGGUGACCUAAUUUAUUUUUUUUCUCAAAUCUUAGCUCUUCAAACCUAAUAGUUGAAUCUUUGAAGGAAUUAUUGUUCUUCAAAAAUGUAAGAUUCAAACUUAUUCUUCUUCAUCUAUUAUUUUGAUUUUUGUUUCCUCACUUUAAAAUGGUGACCUAAUUUAUUAUAUUUUUCUUGAUUUUUUUCAAAUCUUAGCUCUUCAAACCUAAAAGUUGAAUCUUUGAAGGAAUUAUUGUUCUUCAAAAAUGUAAGAUUCAAACUUAUUCUUCUUCAUCUAUUAUUUUGAUUUUUGUUUCCUCUCUUUUCAGUUUUUCCAAUUGUUUAUCAGUUUUUCAAGAUUGUCGUUACUUCUUGAACAAUUUUGUAGCACACAAUGCGAUCAAUUACUUCGCGCUAACGAAAGAAAAAUCUUUAGAUUAGGUCUUGUAGAUUUGAGAGAAUGAGAAUCGGGCUUAGAGAUUUAGGGAUAUUUGUUUAGUAUUGGGUCGGGUUGUAUUUUGGGAACGGGUGAAUUAUAUAAAAUGGGUAAGAUAUUUUUUAAACCCUUAGCGACGUGGACCAAUGAAAAUGCGCGUGUGUAACAAUGCUCAACCUUCAACUGGGCUGGUGUUCAGAGGGUUGAAAAUAAUUCACAUCAAAUAUGUUAAGGGGGGUAUAUAAAUACCCGUGUAGUUUAAGUACUAAAGUAAAUUUUCGUGCCAAGUUCAGGGGGGGUUUUAUGUAUUUUCCCUUUCGUAUAUAAUAAAUAUUUUUCAAGAAUCACUAGUUAUACUCGAAAUUAUAUUUAGCUUAAAUGUGAAGAAAUAAUUAGCUAACUUGAAUCAUUUAUUAAAUAAUUAUAAAAAUUGAAACAUAUAAAAAAUAAUUUAAAUAUCAAUCAUAAAAUUGCUAUUUAUUUUUAUCUUAAACCAAACACUAAGCUUAUACUAGGAGCGAAGUAAAUACUACUUUGUUGGAACAUACAUAUCAUCAAGUAACAUGUUAUUAUAUGGUUUUGUAUUUAAGUAGAAAACGAGUUUAAUUGUAUUAUAGCAUAUUAUAUCUUUUAGGAGACUUUUUGUCGACAUUAGUUAUUCUUAUUAAUUCUCCUAAUACAUCUUACCAUGUAUUUUUCUCUUACCAUAUAUUUAGGGGUCCAUAAAUUUUUACCUGUUAAUAUAUAUUUCCUCUUAUCAUAUAUUUUAGGAGUGUUCGUUCUUACCAUAUAUUUUAAGAGUCAAUAUCAUAAAUAUAAUUAAAUAAUAAUUUGAGAAAAAUAGUAAAUAAGAAUUUUUUCUAUAGAAAAGUCUUUGAAAGAGGGAAAAAAGUUCAUCAACGUUUCUAGAUACUAUAAAUAACAUAUGAAGAGAAAAUUAAAGUGUUUUAUAGUAGGAUAAAAUGUAGGAUAGUUGGGUGUUCAUAACACGAAGACAAAAAUAAUCUAGGACACAUGUACUUGUGUUUAAAAUUUAUUUACAUCGAAAGAAUAGUUCAAGACAAACCUGAUGGCGAUAAUCGUAAUGGAAAGUUUUCUUCGUUAUAUGAAGAUUCUAUAUGCGUAUCCACACCGAGAACAACAUUUACUAUCAACUCUGAAUCAACAUACUUUGUGCAAGUUAGAGGGUUACAAUAACCUAAAGAAUUAACAAAUCAAUGAAUGAUCACAUAAAAUUUUAUUUUUAAAAUACGAUUUUCUAAGAUGGAGUGAAAAAUCAAUGCAUCAUCGAGUUUGACUUGAUAAUUUGAAAAAUAAUUCGAGCAAGUGGUCAUUGAUGGAUAAGAUGAUUAUUUCUUAACAUCAACUCUUUGAUCAUACUAACAAAGAAGAACAAAAAUAAAUAAAAUGAAGAUUCAAUUUUUAAUAACCUCAUGACCACAAGCAUUCAUAAUUUGAUCCGAGGCUACCAACUUUAACAUGUAGUACAUAUAAUUGUUUAUGUGCUAGAAUUUAAUUUGGGCUCGACUAUAUAUAACUCUAUUAAUUUAGGUCAAGUAGUUAGUUUUUUUUUAUGUUUUCCACCCAAUGUCCGGAGUCCACAUUGGAGCGCUGACUGAAUUCAAAUUGCACACUUCAGAGCCCAUUCCUUAUUAGGUUAAGAAAAACGUAAUUUAAAUUUAAAUUAUUUUAACCUAAUGAAAUUGAAUAAUAACAAGGAGAUAAUAAUUAGAAGUCUUUUUCUUAAUUCUUCUUUCUAUAUAUUUUAGGAGUUUUAGCAUACAUGUGUUGCACAUGUAUAUUACAUUAAAAGAUUUAUAGAAGAAAGAAAAUUAAAAAGUAGCAAUUAAACUCAAUUAACAUAAAUGCAAAAGGUUUAACUAAUAUUGAUAGUGUAACCCUUUUUACUAGACAAUAUCUUGUUACAAACCUAAUUUUAAACUCUUGUUUGUAGUUUUUUAAACACUGCCUUCACUAAUUGCUCAUUCUUUUUUUCUUCUCAAACCUGAACCUAAAAAGAGAUGAAAAGCAAAAGGAAAAGAAAAAGCACUAAUAUUAGGAAUUUGACACAUAAUCUAUAAUUAAGACUUCAACAAUUUAAGUUUCUAUCUAACAUGAAAAAAAUAACAGUUUGAUACCAAUUAGAAUGGGCUAGACAAUAUUGUUGAAUCACAAAAUCAUUGAUUAAGAUGAUAAAUUAUGCGCUCUCUUGCUUGGAGCUUCAAAUUGCAGUUAUACUAAAUCAAGACAAUUAAUUGUAUCCUUUUUCACUCUCUUCUUUAAUUUUUGCAACACGUUAUGAAUUAAUUUGUAAUUUUUUGUAUUCUAUUGAAUAGAUCUCGUAAACAAAAAAAUGAAACGAAAGGACAAAACACUUGGUGAUGUAAAUGGAAACAUUCUGCAGUGAUUAUUCAAAAGAAGACUAUUUUCUUUUUCCAUAAAUAAAAUUAAAAAUAUCACAGCUUGGUGAUGCAAAUGAGGCCUAGAUCCAACAAAAUCAAAUAACUAGAUCACUUGAUAAUUCAUAAAACCCUAAGAAAAGUACAAUCAGACAUUCAUAGAAGUGAGUGAGUACUUACAUCUAAUUCUGAGACCAAUUGAGCUUGGGGAUCUCUUUUUCUUCUUUUAGCUAAUAUUUUUCCAUUUUCUCUAGCUGGUGCGGCUGCUCUUUUUUCUUGUGGUUUUAUAUACUAGGUUUAGGGGUAGUAUGGUCUAUUUCUUCUCUUUUGGAUCUAAUCUUCUUAAAGUAUCCUAAUAUGGAUUUUGGAUCAGAUUAAAAAAUUUGUAGAGAACGAAUGUUAUAUGAAUUGUGGAUAAGAUAAAAAAAUUUGGGGAGGAAGAGUGAAGUAUUCUC